GCUGGUAAAACCCCAGUGAGGGACCGUUGGGGUCUAUAGAUCGAGUAAAACUUGUAGGUAGAGCUGUUAAUUUAAUAGCCCGCAAGGAAUUCUAAGGCCAAGGGCUCUACAACUAGCUAAGGUGGGUACUCCGGUUAUUGCCUAUGAAAGAGUGUGCCAGCACAUGCGGUCAAACACGAAGGCAAAAUCACUGAAUGUCUGGGGAGACUUAAUUUUGGCAGAGGAUAAACAGGUAGAAUUGUAAUUGUCCCGGUGCCUUGGGUGGCAACGCCUAAAUGUGUCAGAAAUAAUAAGUUUAAACCAGGAUUAGAUACCCUGUUAUUUUAUUACGUAAUCCCAUACCCCAAGUAAUUAAAGAGUUUCCUCUCCUAACUCAAACUAGUCAUGGCGGCCCGUUAUCCAGUCAGAGGUGCAUGUCCCUAAUCGAAGCCGCCCGAAUAUCUUACCUUCCCUGUUAUGUUUUGUACACCGCUGUGUAAGACUGCUAAGAAAAUUUACGGUCUUCUCCUAUGGGGGAAAAGCUCAAGCCAUGGUGCAGAGAAUGGGAAGGGUCGGAUGUGCGCCAGUGAUUGAUUUCACCCAGGAGCUUGAAAUAGAGCGUUCUGUAAAAGAAUUUGAUAGUAAGAGUAAAUCAUUAACUUACUCUGAAUGUGGGACAUAAUGGGUGUACAAAUUGCCCGUCAUUCCGACUCGUCGGACAAGUCGUAACAAAGUUGCCCUACUGGAAAGUGGGACAAG
RNAcentral lists this ribosomal RNA (738 nucleotides) under Polyplax asiatica. RNAcentral's name for it is "small subunit ribosomal RNA". The record is from RNAcentral. Lineage: Eukaryota; Metazoa; Arthropoda; Insecta; Psocodea; Polyplacidae.